This 433-nucleotide ribosomal RNA is filed under the name uncultured bacterium. RNAcentral describes it as "partial 16S ribosomal RNA". It matches the Rfam family "Bacterial small subunit ribosomal RNA", at positions 29 to 507 of the family's 1533-position model. The record is from RNAcentral.
AACGAACGCUGGCGGCAUGCCUAACACAUGCAAGUCGAACGAGACCUUCGGGUCUUGUGGCGCUCGGCUGGGUAACGCGUGGGAACUUGCCCUUAGGUUCGGUAUAACUCCCCGUGAGGGAUCCUAAUACCAGUUAAUGUAUUCCGACCAAAGAUUUCUUGCCUUUGGGUGGGCGCUCGUUGGUUUGGCGAGUUGGUAGGGUAAUAGCCUGUCAUGGCGACGAUCCAUAGCUGGUCUGAGAGGAGGACCAGCCGGACUGGAACUGAGACACGGACCAGACUCGUACGGGAGGCAGGAGAGGGGAGUAUUAGACAAUGGGCGAAAGCCUGAUACAGCAAUGCGGGGUGAGUGAUGAAGGCCUUAGGGUUGUAAAGCUCUUUUACCCGGGAUGAUAAUGACAGUACCGGGAGAAUAAGCUCCGGCUAACUACGUG